Molecule: long non-coding RNA, 1019 nt
Filed under: Brassica rapa (field mustard)
Lineage: Eukaryota; Viridiplantae; Streptophyta; Magnoliopsida; Brassicales; Brassicaceae
Description: long non-coding RNA (BRAP_LNC001983)
Source: RNAcentral
UAUCUAAACUCAUUGGAGUUUCCAGGUCUACCGGCGCAUAAACUACGUCUGAAAGUGGGUGUCCCAGUCAUGCUCCUUCGUAAUCUGAACCAAAAAGAAGGCUUAUGUAACGGCACAAGACUAAUAGUGACACACUUGGGGGAAAAGGUUAUUAAGACAGAAAUGCUCACAUCAACAACCAAGAGAGAUCCUAUACUGCUACCACGGAUCAUAUUGUCACCACCAGAAUCCAACCAUCCAUUCACCUUGAAGCGACGCCAGUUUCCGAUAAGGGUUUGUUAUGCGAUGACAAUAAAUAAAAGCCAAGGCCAGACUUUGUCACACGUCUCUCUAUACUUGCCUAAACCAGUCUUCAGCCAUGGUCAGCUAUACGUGGCACUGUCAAGAGUUACAACACCCAAAGGACUCAAAAUUUUAGACUUGAACAGAGAUGGGGAAAGUAGAACGAUAUCUAACAUAGUCUACAGAGAAGCCUACAACGGACUGCCUCAAUCUACCGGUAUGUUAUCUUCUAUCUCCACCUACGCGUUAUGCGUCUCCUUAUGCUUUCCAAUAUUAUAUAAAACACUUAGGUUCGAAGCAAAUCAGAUUAACUAACACAACCUCAAAUCUUAAAUCAGACAAUCAGAUAUUCAGUUUAAACGUCCGUGUUUACUUAGGUUCAUCAAAGAUGACAAACUAAAGGUUCAUCUGUAAAAACAUUAAGAAAGAAAAUCAAAGAGUUUAAGAUUCACUGAGAAACUAACAUGAAAAAAACAACUUUGAGAACGGCACAGACAUCACGAAUUGUGCAGUCAAAGCUUAAUAAAGUACAGCAUUUUUGAGUCCCCUUAUACUUAGUGAAAAAAACCCCGAAAAUCCAAACCUUCUCUGUUGCAGGUUCAGACGAUGACGAAACAUCAAAGGAUCAAUGCGUACGGCUUGAUGCGGACUCUGCCUAAGCUAAUGUAAGCAACUUCUUUUUCAAAUACGCUUUAGAACAAUUUUCGUAACCCAAACUCACCGCCUUAAACGCCAAU